GUUGGUGUGUGAGAGCUUUUAAGAUCAAAGGAUGUUGAGGGGAUCCCAGACUGGUUUAUUUCAAAGUCAGAUUCUGUUUUAAAACCAUUUAAACAUGUUUUUCAAAUGAAAGAAUAUUGGAUAAAACACCCAA
Long non-coding RNA from Etheostoma spectabile (orangethroat darter), 133 nucleotides. RefSeq lists it as uncharacterized. NCBI's taxonomy places the organism in Eukaryota, Metazoa, Chordata, Actinopteri, Perciformes, Percidae. The record is from RefSeq and is a predicted model, not a curated record. The transcript has 3 exons.